Molecule: ribosomal RNA, 407 nt
Filed under: uncultured Prochlorococcus sp.
Lineage: Bacteria; Bacillati; Cyanobacteriota; Cyanophyceae; Synechococcales; Prochlorococcaceae
Description: bacterial SSU rRNA
Rfam family: Bacterial small subunit ribosomal RNA
Source: RNAcentral
GUGCUUAACACAUGCAAGUCGAACGAACCUUCGGGUUAGUGGCGGACGGGUGAGUAACGCGUGAGAAUCUGCCCUCAGGAGGGGGAUAACGGUUGGAAACGACCGCUAAUACCCCAUAUGCCUACUGGUGAAAUGAAUUUCGCCUGAGGAUGAGCUCGCGUCUGAUUAGCUUGUUGGUGAGGUAAUGGCUCACCAAGGCUUCGAUCAGUAGCUGGUCUGAGAGGAUGAUCAGCCACACUGGGACUGAGACACGGCCCAGACUCCUACGGGAGGCAGCAGUGGGGAAUUUUCCGCAAUGGGCGAAAGCCUGACGGAGCAACGCCGCGUGAGGGACGAAGGCCUCUGGGCUGUAAACCUCUUUUCUCAAGGAAGAAGAUAUGACGGUACUUGAGGAAUAAGCCACGGCU